Molecule: long non-coding RNA, 227 nt
Filed under: Lathyrus oleraceus (garden pea)
Lineage: Eukaryota; Viridiplantae; Streptophyta; Magnoliopsida; Fabales; Fabaceae
Description: Pisum sativum (pea) long non-coding RNA (PSAT_LNC016905)
Source: RNAcentral
GGAUCGUAAUUGGAUGAAAGAUUAUAUAUUAGGCCCGAUGUAUGAGAAAGGAGUUCUUGAAUUCCUUAGUUACGCGGAACAAAAUCUUAUUGACAAUAAUAUAAUCUUUUAUAUUCUUGUGUUAUAUGAAUGAAUAUUGAAAAAAAAUCAAAGAAAGAAAUAUUCCAUCACCUAUGUUGUGAUGGAAUUUGUCAAAAUUAUACAAUAUGGACGUGACAUAGUGAAGU